GGGGGUGUAGCUCAGUGGUAGAAUGUGUGUUUUUCAUGUAUAAGGUCCUGGGUUCAAUCCCCAGCAUCUCCA
Molecule: non-coding RNA, 72 nt
Organism: Megalobrama amblycephala (Wuchang bream)
Lineage: Eukaryota; Metazoa; Chordata; Actinopteri; Cypriniformes; Xenocyprididae
Source: the annotation of a RefSeq genome assembly